AUUACAUGCGAGAAGGCGAUAUAUGUAUAAUCAAUUCCCAAUAAUUCUGAUAAUUCGAAACUACCAUUCAUAGAACGGUCGAAAUAAAACCGAUAUUAUAUUUUGCUUUUCAGAGGUUCGACGUUAGGCUAAUUCGUUUUUCAUCGAUAUUACGAAUUUGAGAGAUGAAAGGGUACAAUAAAUUGUAUAUUUAUUUACAUUGAUCUAAAAUAUACGUGUAUGCAUGGAUGGACAAUUUAAAGCUUUCAGUUACAAGUAAAAAAUACAUAGAGAUCAUAAAAGAAAAUAUACGUUUAGUACGUGUGUAAAUAUAUAUCUUUCAAUAUAUAAUUAUAUAUAUAUAAAGUAAAAUUAUCGGUACUUCGCGGAUAUAUGUAUACAUAUAAAAUGAAUUUUUUUUUCAAAAUUUUUUUCGUUUUUAGAUCUUAAGUGCUUUAUGUUAAAUGUACAAACAAAAUCUACUUAUCAAAUUUUUUUUGAGAUAAUUAUAAAACAUUUAAUUUCUGUCGAUUUUUAUUACAUCAUAUUACACUGUACAAUCAUAUAAACGAUAUUAUUACAAACAUUAUAGCUGUGUCCAUUAAAUUAUUUUGAUAUUUGCUUACCCAAUUAACACAUAAAUUACUCCGUUCCUCUUUAAAUAUGAAAAUGAUUAGAAAUUUUAAUACAGUUUGUCUAUAAAUAUUUGUUUUUGUAAUAAGAACAAUAACUCUGCGCAUUGACAACCAGUAUAAGGAUAGUUUCAUUUUACAUGCUAUAAAUUUUACGUUUCAUGUAAAUUGAAUUUUUAACAUCUAUUAUUACAAAAAGACGUUCUAUUCGUUUCAAUAACUUUUUUUUUCUUUAAGUAAAUCUUAACCUUAAAUGUACAUUAUGUUAUUUUUAGAAAACCUAAUAAUGUAAGCAAUGUUAACCUUACCGCUAAUGACAUUCGUUAUAUGUUCGUAUUUAAAACGUUUAACGCGGCAGAUCGAAGAGGAAAAUGAAUACAAAAAG
Molecule: long non-coding RNA, 996 nt
Organism: Hylaeus volcanicus
Lineage: Eukaryota; Metazoa; Arthropoda; Insecta; Hymenoptera; Colletidae
Exons: 2
Source: RefSeq, a predicted model, not a curated record